Molecule: non-coding RNA, 1167 nt
Organism: Camelina sativa (false flax)
Lineage: Eukaryota; Viridiplantae; Streptophyta; Magnoliopsida; Brassicales; Brassicaceae
Source: RefSeq, a predicted model, not a curated record
AAAAAAAUACUUUUUAACUCUCUCUCUCUCUCUCUCUCUCUCAUCUCCUCAAAUCAAAAUCUCCGAAAUCUCAAGAGUAAUUUCAUCUGACGGAAUCGUUUCCUUCUCCAUUUGGCGAUUCGCGGAGCUCCCAGAAAUCGUUUGCGACUUCUUCUUAGUAUCUGAUUGCCGGAGCACCGGAACUCGUCCGCUGAUCUACAUUCCGUAAUCGCCGAAAUCUGAUCGGAGCAACGGCGGCAAGAAGGCGUUACGAAGCGGCCGCGUAGAUGGAGACGGAGGAGGAGGGGGAGCAUCGUCGGGUCAAACCGUAUCGGAGCAAGAAAUUCGUCACGGACGGUGGCUGAGUUAGUUAGUUCCGGUACAAAAUCGAAGAUCGGUUCUAGGAAUCGUAGGGCGUCAAUUCUCAGGAUCGCUUACGUUGCUCAUUGUGAUAUCCCCAGCAAAUUUUUCUUAUGUUAAUAACUACUGAUUCUUCUUAUGUUAAUAAUAUUAGUAUAUAUUUUGAGCUUCAUAGUGCUUUUAAUCUAUAUCGUUAAUUACGGAGAUACUUGAGUUUAUAUUUUACUAGUGUAGAUUGACAUUUGUGAUUUGAUUUUAGCUUGGGAAUCGUGUGGAGACAAUGGUGCUACCUAUCUUAUCUUGAGAGCUUCUUCAACUGCUUUAAACUUCAGAUUUCCCAGACCAAGAAGAAGAGUAUGAAUCAAGGCAGAGAAGAAACCUGAAGCUUCUUAGAUCCGGCCAGUUUGUUAUUAUUAUAUCCUUUGUGUGCCGUUAAGCUGGAAUGCAAAAGUUGAGGGUUGAAAUCGCAGCCAGGGUCCCCAGACCAUUGAGACAUUGCGGGAGGAGCUUUCCACCACUGAAAGGAGAGCUGAAGAGGAGCAUUCUCCUCAUAUUAAGGUUGAUAGUCCCAAAAGAAAGGGCACACAACGGGAGUUAGAUGAUUCUUCAUAAAUAGAUACCUGAAGAAACUGGAAUCUGUAGUGCAUGUAUCUCCGGUUGGUGAAGGGAAUGUGGCUCAAGGCGCGGGCGAUGAGGCAAAAGUUGGCAUUUCAAUCAAUCUGGAGAAAGAACAGGUAGAGCUGAUAAGACGUCCAUGAAGAUUCAAGAUCAACUUGAAGAGGUUUUGUGUGAGUCUCGGGGAAAUGAAGAUUAUAGCAAAUGCUACUU